CAAUAGCAUAUAUUAACGUUGUUGCAGUUGAAAAGCUCGUAGUUGAACUUUUGGUAGGAGCGACCUGGCCUUGGGCGCAUGCCCUUGUUUGCCGUGUGUCGUAUCUGGCCAUCCUUUUCCGCUUCGGCGGGAAUCUUUUACUGUGAGUAAACUGGAGUGCUCAAAACAAGACGUUUGUUUGGUACAUUAAAGCAUGGAAUAAUAAGAUAGGACCUGGUUACUAUUUUGUUGGUUUGCAUAGCUAGGUAAUGAUUAACAGGGACAGUUGGGGGUAUUCGUAUUUAAUUGUCAGAGGUGAAAUUCUUGGAUUUAUGAAAGACGAACGACUGCGAAAGCAUUUACCAAGGAUGUUUUCAUUA
This 359-nucleotide ribosomal RNA is filed under the name uncultured eukaryote. RNAcentral's name for it is "partial 18S ribosomal RNA". It matches the Rfam family "Eukaryotic small subunit ribosomal RNA", at positions 592 to 975 of the family's 1831-position model. The record is from RNAcentral.